This 490-nucleotide ribosomal RNA is filed under the name uncultured bacterium. RNAcentral's name for it is "partial 16S ribosomal RNA". It matches the Rfam family "Bacterial small subunit ribosomal RNA", at positions 30 to 507 of the family's 1533-position model. The record is from RNAcentral.
AUUGAACGCUGGCGGCAGGCCUAACACAUGCAAGUCGAACGGUAACAGGAAACAGCUUGCUGUUUCGCUGACGAGUGGCGGACGGGUGAGUAAUGUCUGGGAAACUGCCUGAUGGAGGGGGAUAACUACUGGAAACGGUAGCUAAUACCGCAUAACGUCGCAAGACCAAAGAGGGGGACCUUCGGGCCUCUUGCCAUCGGAUGUGCCCAGAUGGGAUUAGCUAGUAGGUGGGGUAACGGCUCACCUAGGCGACGAUCCCUAGCUGGUCUGAGAGGAUGACCAGCCACACUGGAACUGAGACACGGUCCAGACUCCUACGGGAGGCAGCAGUGGGGAAUAUUGCACAAUGGGCGCAAGCCUGAUGCAGCCAUGCCGCGUGUAUGAAGAAGGCCUUCGGGUUGUAAAGUACCUUCAGCGGGGGUGAAGGGAGUAAAGUUAAUACCUUUGCUCAUUGACGUUACCCGCAGAAGAAGCACCGGCUAACUCCGUG